RNAcentral lists this ribosomal RNA (253 nucleotides) under uncultured bacterium. Its description in RNAcentral is "partial 16S ribosomal RNA". It matches the Rfam family "Bacterial small subunit ribosomal RNA", at positions 524 to 776 of the family's 1533-position model. The record is from RNAcentral.
UACGGGGGGAGCAAGCGUUGUUCGGAUUUACUGGGCGUAAAGGGCGCGUAGGCGGCACUGCAAGUCAGUUGUGAAAUCUCCGGGCUUAACCCGGAAAGGUCAACUGAUACUGCAGGGCUAGAGUGCAGAAGGGGCAACUGGAAUUCUCGGUGUAGCGGUGAAAUGCGUAGAUAUCGAGAGGAACACCAAUGGCGAAGGCAGCUCGCUGGGACGUGACUGACGCUGAGACGCGAAAGCGUGGGGAGCAAACAGG